UUUUUUUAAAAAAAAAUCAUUUUUCCUUCCUACUCCUCUCUCUGUACCCAACCGACCCAUACUAUCUCUAUCUUAAAAAUGUAUUUUCUUCUCCAUCCAAAUUUCAUAGAGCCUUGCAUGCAAAACCAAGUGGUAGUUUGAGUUUCAAUGGGUAAUUAGAGGACUCAAUGAAAAAGAUAGAAGAAGAAGUUGCGGGCUAAAGAUUAAAUUAGGGUUCUAAUUGGGAACAACAAUGGAGGAGACGAAAUCAAAUAGAAACAAGAGGAGAUUUUAUUCAAGAAAAGGAUGCAUUCAAGUUACAAUUUCUUCAAACCCCAAAGAGGUUGUGGCUAGUUUGGCUGGUCCUUCUGCCAAUAUUAUAUUUGGAACUGUUGUUGAUGAUUGUUACACUGGAGAGAUUCACGUGAUCAUCAACGCCACUGGCUAUCCGCAGUCUUUUCAGAAGCUUCUUGACAAAGUGGCAUAAGGAAAAGAAAGCAAGACAGUGCCUCCUCCCCUUCUAAUAUUUAUAGCAAUCAAAAUGGAAAAAGAAAAGCCUAUAUUUAAGGACUAGAAAAUAUGACAGGGCUAGAAAAUGCAUUUUCUUAGGAUUUCAACAUGGCACAAAAGGUUAUAUGAUGUUUGAGCUCCAAAAUCAUUCGACCUUUAUUUCUAGAAAUGUGAUUUUUCAUGAGCAUAGUUGACAACUAUUCGACUUCUUUUAGCUAUCGCAUCUUCUAACAAUUGGCAUUUACACCAACUUGAUGUGCAUAAUGCAUUUACUGCUUUGUUGAUAUAUGUAGAUGACCUUAUACUUGCUGGGAAUGACAGAAGAAAUAAAUUCAAUCAAGAAUCUUCUGAUCCAAUCCUUCAAGAUUAAAGACCUAGGAUACGUCAAGUACUUCCUAAGAUUGGAAAUAUCCAGAUCAGCAAAGGGUCUUCACAUAUGUCAACACAAAUAUGCUACGGAUAUACUGUCUGACACUAGCAUGCUAGCAUCUAAACCACUGUCUACACCAAUGCAAAGAGGAUUCAAGUUAACCAAGGAUACAUGAAACGUCUUAUCUGACCCUGAGGCAUAUGGAAGAUUAGUUGGAAGAAUAAUUUACCUUACAAAUACAAGACCAGACAUCUCAUAUGUAGUUCAACAACCCAGUCAAUUCAGCAUCAACCCACAGAUGAACAUCAUUCUGCAGCUGUUAGAAUUCUCAGAUACAUCAAAUCAUGUCCAGCUCUUGGCCUGUACUUUCCAUCAUAUUCAAAACUACAACUAAAGGCAUUUUGUGAUUCGAAUUGGGCAACCUGUCCGGAUACUAGAAGGUCAAUAAGUGGAUACUGUAUUUUUUUAGGCAAUUCCCUUGUCUCAUGGAAGUCUAGGAAUCAAUCAACUGUCUCCAAAUCAUCAUCAGAACCGGAAUAUAGAUCCAUGACUUCUACAGUUUGCAAAGUGCAGUCGCUCACCUAUAUUUUACAAGAUUUGCACAUAUCUUUCGCUAAACUGGCUCUAAUGUACUGUGACAGUCAGUCCGCACGACAUAUUGCAUCUAAUUCAUCUUUUCGCGAGAGGAUCAAGCACAUUGACUUGGAUUGCCUUAUUGUGAGAGAGAAACUACAACAAAAGAUAAUUCAUUUACUGCCAAUCUCUUCCAGUCAACAACUGGCAGACUUGUUCACUAAACAUCUUGAUCCGAGUGUGUUUUUUUAUGUUUGUCCGAGUGCUAUUACUCAUUUGUUACUUGCUCAUGUUUUGAGGAUCGGUACCCCUUAUUUAAUUUCGUUGUAAUCUCCUCUUUCUGGGCUUAGACUUUCUUUGAAAUAAAAAACAAGAAUUGGAUUGAUGCCGCUUCUUACUGGGUUGGAUGGAAACAAGUUAUGAAAAUCAAUUGUUAUUUUCUUUUUAUUGGUUUUUUGUUUAAUUUAUUUGUACUGACUAAUUCUGAUAAACUAAUGAAAAAAUGUAUCCUUAUUGAUAUAAGGCGAAAGUUUCCACCAUAUCCAGCUGUAGCCGAAGCAGUACAAAAGGACUAGAGGGCUGUAAGUAUUUAUAUGACUCAGGAUCUGUUCACUGAUUUUGGAUCUGCUUUGAGUUUGGUUGGACUUUUCAAGUUGAUACGUGUUUAUUUCUGCUUGGUGGAAGGGAGAGAAAAUAUGCCAGUCUGGUGGUGGUUGUGGAGGUUAGGGUUUAUUCAAAUGGUAACGUUUAUGAAGGUGAAAUGAAAGGAGGAAAGUGUUGUGGGAGUGGUGUUUAUUACUAUAAUAUAAGUGGAAGAUAUGAAAGUGAUUGGGUUGAUGGUAAAUAUGAUGGAUUUGGUGUUGAGACUUGGUCUAAGGGAAGUAUGUAUAGAGAUGGUUUCAGAAAUGGGUUUGGUGUUUAUAGAUUUUAUACUGCUGAUGUUUAUGCUGGUCAAUGGUUCAAUGGACAGAAAUGUAAGUUAGGAUGUUUGUUUUCAGUUAAUUACAUUUAUUUGUUGUGUUAUUUUCGUUGUUUCGGUUAUUUUUUCUUUGUUUUGCUUGAAUCGAUGAUUGGAAUUUGGCUUCUACGUUUGUUGAUACGAGUAGUUUGCUCUAAUAUUAGGUUGAAUAGAUUUGGGUUUCAGAUGUUAGGUAUUAAGGAUUAGUGAAGCUGGAAAAGAUAAGCAUGAUGAACUCAAGGAAUCAUACAUGAGACCGGCUUUACUAAAUAAGACAUGUUAAGAUUGGGUUUAGAUUCAAAGGUGAUGUUAUAUAUGUCUCUUCAAGCUAAGUCUGAAAGUACAAAUGAUCGAUGUCCUAAUUUUCUUGCAAGAGGCUGAGUCCAUGUUUUGAUAGACACCUUGUUUGUUGACCAUUAGCAACACUAAUCCCACCUAUUCUGUUUUUUUGUUGCAACUGUAUCAAUGAGUAGGAUUCUGGGCAUGCUUUUAAUGAAUAGUGGUUUCUAAUCCUAUUAUGCAUAAUGCAUCCUUCUGAUUUCUGUCAAAUGUAGGAAACCUAUCUUCUAAGUAAUCACCAUUAGUGCAUUAUUGUUGAAUUGAUUUAGAAUCUACAUUGAAUCAUGAUAUUGCUUUAGUGUGAAAUUACAAAGAAUGCAUAACAAACUCUUAACAAACUUUUGGGUCUCUGUUUAUUUUUCCUUUUUCAAUGUGAUACAAGUGAGACUGUUUCUCUUUAUAUAGUGUGCUUUACUACAUAAAGGACUUAGCUAGAUUACAACAAUAGGAUUAGCAAAUCCUUAAUCUAUUUCUAUUUUUGUGAUUAUAUCUCAUACACUUACAUUUAGAAUCUACUUUUUAAUAACAUAGCCCCAUGUUACCUAUGGUGCAGGCUUGUAUUCAUGGUGGCACGGUUUAAGGUGUCAAAUGUGUUAAUAUCUUGUAUCUAGUUCUUUUAUAUGGUUAAUAUCUCUUCUUAUCAACAUGUGCCAGAUCAGUUUAAAGAUUUUGUGUUUGGUAGCUUUUGGAAGAGUGUGACUCCCAACGAAGAACAAUUUGCUUAAGAGAAGGGUGAUCUUGGCUCAAGAUGUCAAAUGUGUUCUCUGCAGUACCAUUGCUGAAACUGAGGCCAUCUAUCUACUUACAACCAACACACUGGGAUUAGACUUGUUUAAGAUUUAAGAUAUUAUUUUGUAUUUUUAUUUGUAAUUUGGUUGUUGUAGUGUCUAGUAAGUAUAUACUUUUGGUCUAUAUUUUCUUUCUGUUUGUACAUGUAAUAUGAACUGUGAAUACUUUAGUAUUCAAUAUACUUUAGAUGUAGUUCUUUCAUAGGUUGAUUCUAUUCUAAUAUACUUUGAAAAUUAAAAAGU
RNA transcript from Trifolium pratense (red clover), 3760 nucleotides. It is a transcript of the gene named cell division protein FtsZ homolog 1, chloroplastic-like, with no coding region annotated. Lineage: Eukaryota; Viridiplantae; Streptophyta; Magnoliopsida; Fabales; Fabaceae. The record is from RefSeq and is a predicted model, not a curated record. The transcript is spliced from 5 exons.